UGUAACGGGGCUAAACCAUGCACCGAAGCUGCGGCAGCGACACUAUGUGUUGUUGGGUAGGGGAGCGUUCUGUAAGCCUGUGAAGGUGGCCUGUGAGGGUUGCUGGAGGUAUCAGAAGUGCGAAUGCUGACAUAAGUAACGAUAAAGCGGGUGAAAAGCCCGCUCGCCGGAAGACCAAGGGUUCCUGUCCAACGUUAAUCGGGGCAGGGUGAGUCGACCCCUAAGGCGAGGCCGAAAGGCGUAGUCGAUGGGAAACGGGUUAAUAUUCCCGUACUUGGUGUUACUGCGAAGGGGGGACGGAGAAGGCUAUGUUGGCCGGGCGACGGUUGUCCCGGUUUAAGCGUGUAGGUGUGUGUUCCAGGUAAAUCCGGUUCACUUUAACACUGAGGCGUGAUGACGAGGCACUACGGUGCUGAAGCAACAAAUGCCCUGCUUCCAGGAAAAGCCUCUAAGCAUCAGGUAACAUCAAAUCGUACCCCAAACCGACACAGGUGGUCAGGUAGAGAAUACCAAGGCGCUUGAGAGAACUCGGGUGAAGGAACUAGGCAAAAUGGUGCCGUAACU
This 564-nucleotide ribosomal RNA is filed under the name Salmonella enterica. Its description in RNAcentral is "partial 23S ribosomal RNA". It matches the Rfam family "Bacterial large subunit ribosomal RNA", at positions 1171 to 1735 of the family's 2925-position model. The record is from RNAcentral. Lineage: Bacteria; Pseudomonadati; Pseudomonadota; Gammaproteobacteria; Enterobacterales; Enterobacteriaceae.